CGGCAGGCCUAACACAUGCAAGUCGAGCGGUAGCACAGAGAGCUUGCUCUCGGGUGACGAGCGGCGGACGGGUGAGUAAUGUCUGGGAAACUGCCUGAUGGAGGGGGAUAACUACUGGAAACGGUAGCUAAUACCGCAUAACGUCGCAAGACCAAAGUGGGGACCUUCGGGCCUCAUGCCAUCAGAUGUGCCCAGAUGGGAUUAGCUAGUAGGUGGGGUAACGGCUCACCUAGGCGACGAUCCCUAGCUGGUCUGAGAGGAUGACCAGCCACACUGGAACUGAGACACGGUCCAGACUCCUACGGGAGGCAGCAGUGGGGAAUAUUGCACAAUGGGCGCAAGCCUGAUGCAGCCAUGCCGCGUGUGUGAAGAAGGCCUUCGGGUUGUAAAGCACUUUCAGCGGGGAGGAAGGCGUUAAGGUUAAUAACCUUGGCGAUUGACGUUACCCGCAGAAGAAGCACCGGCUAACUCCGUGCCAGCAGCCGCGGUAAUACGGAGGGUGCAAGCGUUAAUCGGAAUUACUGGGCGUAAAGCGCACGCAGGCGGUCUGUCAAGUCGGAUGUGAAAUCCCCGGGCUCAACCUGGGAACUGCAUUCGAAACUGGCAGGCUAGAGUCUUGUAGAGGGGGGUAGAAUUCCAGGUGUAGCGGUGAAAUGCGUAGAGAUCUGGAGGAAUACCGGUGGCGAAGGCGGCCCCCUGGACAAAGACUGACGCUCAGGUGCGAAAGCGUGGGGAGCAAACAGGAUUAGAUACCCUGGUAGUCCACGCUGUAAACGAUGUCGAUUUGGAGGUUGUGCCCUUGAGGCGUGGCUUCCGGAGCUAACGCGUUAAAUCGACCGCCUGGGGAGUACGGCCGCAAGGUUAAAACUCAAAUGAAUUGACGGGGGCCCGCACAAGCGGUGGAGCAUGUGGUUUAAUUCGAUGCAACGCGAAGAACCUUACCUGGUCUUGACAUCCACAGAACUUUCCAGAGAUGGAUUGGUGCCUUCGGGAACUGUGAGACAGGUGCUGCAUGGCUGUCGUCAGCUCGUGUUGUGAAAUGUUGGGUUAAGUCCCGCAACGAGCGCAACCCUUAUCCUUUGUUGCCAGCGGUCCGGCCGGGAACUCAAAGGAGACUGCCAGUGAUAAACUGGAGGAAGGUGGGGAUGACGUCAAGUCAUCAUGGCCCUUACGACCAGGGCUACACACGUGCUACAAUGGCAUAUACAAAGAGAAGCGACCUCGCGAGAGCAAGCGGACCUCAUAAAGUAUGUCGUAGUCCGGAUUGGAGUCUGCAACUCGACUCCAUGAAGUCGGAAUCGCUAGUAAUCGUAGAUCAGAAUGCUACGGUGAAUACGUUCCCGGGCCUUGUACACACCGCCCGUCACACCAUGGGAGUGGGUUGCAAAAGAAGUAGGUAGCUUAACCUUCGGGAGGGCGCUUACCACUUUGUGAUUCAUGACUGGGGUG
RNAcentral lists this ribosomal RNA (1449 nucleotides) under uncultured organism. RNAcentral describes it as "SSU rRNA". It matches the Rfam family "Bacterial small subunit ribosomal RNA". The record is from RNAcentral.